GGAAAUAUAGCCUUAGAGAAAGGAAAGAUUGCGAAAUUGGAAUUAGCUGAAGAGACAAAACAAGACAUUGUUGAGACUAUUAUGGGAAUUCAAAAAUGUGGUCCAAAGACGCAUGCAGAAGGAUUUACAAUUGCCAGGAUAAACAUGAGGUUUUGGGGCACUGUUGGUCCACCAUGGAAAGGGAUCGCAUCAGUUGUACAAUGAAUGCCAAAUUUAAAGGAGUCAAGACUUAUGGGGCAUGUAUGUUAUGUGCCCAAGCUUGUCAAAAGUUUC
Molecule: long non-coding RNA, 273 nt
Filed under: Gossypium barbadense (sea-island cotton)
Lineage: Eukaryota; Viridiplantae; Streptophyta; Magnoliopsida; Malvales; Malvaceae
Description: long non-coding RNA (GBAR_LNC005737)
Source: RNAcentral